CGCGCCGUUCGGCCCGCCUUCACCUCCACGACCUGCGGCGGGUUCUCCAAGUGCAACACCGGACCUGCCCGGUUGAGUGACACAACAAAAAAGCAAAAGCGUCAGACAGAGCGCGUGUAAUUGGGGCUAUGAUUCGUGUCCAUCCUCACCAUUGUGCAACCACGCGACUUUGAUGGGUCGACUCCCGGAGAGGACGCCGCUCAAGGUGAUGUCAUCGCCUUCGUCCACGCAGCAGUCCUGCAGCGGCCGCACGAAGACGGGCGGGUCGGCACGCUGGUGCGAGGGGAGGACGCCUGGACGGGAAGUAAGACGUGAGGACGAAAACACCGCCGCUUACUGUAUACACCUGCAGAUGAUGCUAAAUAGUGACCUUCUGCUGUAUUGUCUUGAAACUUACAGAUAAAACCCUAAACCUUG
Long non-coding RNA from Phyllopteryx taeniolatus (common seadragon), 417 nucleotides. RefSeq lists it as uncharacterized. The record is from RefSeq and is a predicted model, not a curated record. The transcript has 2 exons. NCBI's taxonomy places the organism in Eukaryota, Metazoa, Chordata, Actinopteri, Syngnathiformes, Syngnathidae.